RNAcentral lists this ribosomal RNA (257 nucleotides) under uncultured bacterium. Its description in RNAcentral is "partial 16S ribosomal RNA". It matches the Rfam family "Bacterial small subunit ribosomal RNA", at positions 524 to 776 of the family's 1533-position model. The record is from RNAcentral.
UACGGAGGGUGCAAGCGUUAUCCGGAUUUACUGGGUUUAAAGGGUGCGCAGGCGGAUAUGUAAGUCAGUGGUGAAAUCUUUGGGCUUAACCCGAAAAUUGCCAUUGAUACUAUAUAUCUUGAAUGCUGUGGAGGUAAGCGGAAUAUGUCAUGUAGCGGUGAAAAUGCUUAGAGAUGACAUAGAACACCUAUUGCGAAGGCAGCUUACUACGCAGAUAUUGACGCUCAUGCACGAAAAGCGUGGGGGAUCAAAACAGG